GCAAGUCGAGCGGAAACGAUGGGAGCUUGCUCCCAGGCGUCGAGCGGCGGACGGGUGAGUAACGCGUAGGAAUCUACCCAGUAGUGGGGGAUAGCCCGGGGAAACUCGGAUUAAUACCGCAUACGCCCUACGGGGGAAAGGCCGGGAUCUUCGGACCGGUCGCUAUUGGAUGAGCCUGCGUUGGAUUAGCUAGUUGGUGGGGUAAUGGCCUACCAAGACGAUGAUGCAUAGCCGACCUGAGAGGGUGAAC
RNAcentral lists this ribosomal RNA (250 nucleotides) under uncultured bacterium. RNAcentral describes it as "partial 16S ribosomal RNA". It matches the Rfam family "Bacterial small subunit ribosomal RNA", at positions 57 to 305 of the family's 1533-position model. The record is from RNAcentral.